GACGUAGGGAGCAAGCGUUGCCCGGAAUUAUUGGGCGUAAAGGGCUCCUAGGCGGUUCAGUAAGUCGACUGUGAAAAUCCAAGGCUCAACCUUGGGACGCCAGUCGAUACUGCUGUGACUUGAGUUCGGUAGAGGAGUGUGGAGUUCCUGGUGUAGCGGUGAAAUGCGCAGAUAUCAGGAGGAACACCAACGGCGAAGGCAGCACUCUGGGCCGAUACUGACGCUGAAGAGCGAAAGCGUGGGGAGCAAACAGG
This 254-nucleotide unclassified non-coding RNA is filed under the name uncultured Acidimicrobiia bacterium. RNAcentral describes it as "contains 16S-23S intergenic spacer region". It matches the Rfam family "Bacterial small subunit ribosomal RNA", at positions 524 to 776 of the family's 1533-position model. Lineage: Bacteria; Bacillati; Actinomycetota; Acidimicrobiia. The record is from RNAcentral.